AGAGUUGAUCAUGGCUCAGAACGAACGCUGGUGGCGUGUCUAUACAUGCAAGUCGAGCGAGGCAGCAAUGCCGAGCGGCGAACGGGUGAGUAACGCGUAAGCAAUCUGCCCCAUAUCAGGAAAUACCCGUGCCAACGCGCGGUUAAUGUCCAGGAGAGUGGCCCUCUGUAUGGAGGGUUGACUAGAGAUUUAUCGGUAUGGGAUGAGCUUGCGUCCGAUUAGCUAGUUGGCGGGGCAACGGCCCACCAAGGCGACGAUCAGUAGCCGGCCUGAGAGGGUGAUCGGCCACAUUGGGACUGAGAUACGGCCCAGACUCCUAUGGGAGGCAGCAGUAGGGAAUAUUGCACAAUGGGGGAAACCCUGAUGCAGCAACGCCACGUGUGGGAAGAAGCAUUUCGGUGUGUAAACCACUGUCAUGAGGGAAUAAGGCCCGCCUUCGGGCGGGAUUGAAUGUACCUUGAGAGGAAGCACCGGCAAACUUCGUGCCAGCCGCGGC
RNAcentral lists this ribosomal RNA (496 nucleotides) under uncultured bacterium. Its description in RNAcentral is "bacterial SSU rRNA". It matches the Rfam family "Bacterial small subunit ribosomal RNA", at positions 8 to 518 of the family's 1533-position model. The record is from RNAcentral.